Long non-coding RNA from Mauremys mutica (yellowpond turtle), 482 nucleotides. RefSeq lists it as uncharacterized. The transcript is spliced from 4 exons. The record is from RefSeq and is a predicted model, not a curated record. NCBI's taxonomy places the organism in Eukaryota, Metazoa, Chordata, Testudines, Geoemydidae.
AUGAGACAGUGACCUUGCUGGAGACAAGGGAAUAAUUGUCACCUGUCCACGGGAGGAUCUCCCCUUGGCUGAGUGAAGCAUACAUGGACUCGUUAUGUUUUUGGGAGCAGGAAGAACUGGGCUUGCAGAUGCAGCGAGCUCUGCCGGAGCGAAGACAAAUGGACAGGGUUUCCAGUUUCCAAACCUGAUGUGAUCUCGCAGCUGGAAUGAGGGGAACAGCCGUGGGUCUUAGACCUCUAUGGCUCUGAAAAAAAGUGCUCCCGAGAGCUGUGUGCACAGGUGAUGAGAUGGUGAGUGAGAACGAGGAGGAGAAUCCCCAGCAGGAAGAUGCUGAGCGAGUAGAACCACAAGGGAUGUUAUCAGGAAUAUCCAAAGGGAAUGUUUCCGGGAGUUGUGCACUCCCAGAAAAAGCAAAAGCCUGUGAGACUAAGCACAGGCCAGAGGAAAACUUCAGUAGCCACUCAGACCUUAUUACACGCGAG